ACACUUUGGAGAACGACAGGGAGAGGAAGAGAGAAACUGGAGAAACUUUCUGCGACACUUCCGGUUGAAGCUUCCGGUAAUCACGCCCAGGUGUGUUCAGGUGUUCUCAGGUGUGUAUAUCAUUGUUUCGAGCAGGUAAGCGGUGCGGACCGCGGGCAGCCUGGCUGUGGAUCAAAGCGGUGGAAGAAGAAGGAGCCGGGGAAGGAGAGAUGAAGUCUAGAUACUCAGAACUCUGUCGACGUCUUCCUGCUCAGAGCUGCUGGUUGAGUGUGUGAAGAACAAGGACUUAAAGAAGG
This is a non-coding RNA of Labrus bergylta (ballan wrasse), 296 nucleotides long. NCBI's taxonomy places the organism in Eukaryota, Metazoa, Chordata, Actinopteri, Labriformes, Labridae. The record is from RefSeq and is a predicted model, not a curated record.